CGCCAGACUCCUACGGGAGGCAGCAGUGGGGAAUAUUGCACAAUGGGGGAAACCCUGAUGCAGCAACGCCGCGUGAGUGAAGAAGUCAUUCGUGAUGUAAAGCUCUAUCAGCAGGGAAGAAAAUGACGGUACCUGACUAAGAAGCCCCGGCUAACUACGUGCCAGCAGCCGCGGUAAUACGUAGGGGGCAAGCGUUAUCCGGAUUUAUUGGGUUUAAAGGGUGCGUAGGCGGGCUGUUAAGUCAGCGGUAAAGGCCCGGGGCUCACCCCCGGCGAGCCGUUGAAACUGGCUGUCUUGAGAUGUCGAGAGGUAUGCGGAAUGCGCAGUGUAGCGGUGAAAUGCUUAGAUAUUGCGCAGAACUCCGAUUGCGAAGGCAGCAUACCGGCGGCGAUCUGACGCUGAGGCACGAAAGCGUGGGUAUCGAACAGGAUUAGAUACCCGUGUAGC
Molecule: ribosomal RNA, 447 nt
Filed under: uncultured bacterium
Lineage: Bacteria
Description: bacterial SSU rRNA
Rfam family: Bacterial small subunit ribosomal RNA
Source: RNAcentral